RNAcentral lists this ribosomal RNA (469 nucleotides) under uncultured bacterium. RNAcentral describes it as "SSU rRNA". It matches the Rfam family "Bacterial small subunit ribosomal RNA", at positions 26 to 518 of the family's 1533-position model. The record is from RNAcentral.
AGGAUGAACGCUGGCGGCGUGCCUAACACAUGCAAGUCGAACGUCCUGUCUCGCAAGAGGCAGGGAGUGGCGGACGGGUGAGUACCACGUGGGUCAUCUACCGUGAGGUGAGGAAUACCGGCGAGAAAUCGCCGACAAGACCGCAUAGGCUCGAUGCAAGUCGAGCAAAGCUCUUUCGAGAGAGGGAGCGCCACACGAGGAGCCUGCGCCCGAUUAGCUAGCUGGUGGAGUAACGGUUCACCAGGGCGACGAUCGGUAGCUGGUCUGAGAGGACGAUCAGCCACACUGGGAUUGAGAACGGCCCAGACUCCUACGGGGGGCAGCAGUGAGGAAUUUUCGUCAAUGGGGGCAACCCUGAACGAGCAACGCCGCGUGCAGGAGAAGGUUUCGGAUCGUAAACUGCUUUUUCGGGGAAGUAGAACGGACGGUACCGAGGAAUCAGCCCGGCUAACUACGUGCCAGCAGCCGC